Nannospalax galili (Upper Galilee mountains blind mole rat) is the source of this 60-nucleotide small nuclear RNA. The record is from Ensembl. Lineage: Eukaryota; Metazoa; Chordata; Mammalia; Rodentia; Spalacidae.
GUGCUCACUUCGGCAGCACAUGUACUAAAACUGGAACGACACAGAGACGAUUAGCAUGGC